RNAcentral lists this ribosomal RNA (425 nucleotides) under uncultured bacterium. RNAcentral describes it as "partial 16S ribosomal RNA". It matches the Rfam family "Bacterial small subunit ribosomal RNA", at positions 354 to 796 of the family's 1533-position model. The record is from RNAcentral.
GUAGGGAAUCUUGCGCAAUGGGCGAAAGCCUGACGCAGCCAUGCCGCGUGAAUGAUGAAGGUCUUAGGAUUGUAAAAUUCUUUCACCGGGGACGAUAAUGACGGUACCCGGAGAAGAAGCCCCGGCUAACUUCGUGCCAGCAGCCGCGGUAAUACGAAGGGGGCUAGCGUUGCUCGGAAUUACUGGGCGUAAAGGGAGCGUAGGCGGAUAGUUUAGUCAGAGGUGAAAGCCCAGGGCUCAACCUUGGAAUUGCCUUUGAUACUGGCUAUCUUGAGUAUGGAAGAGGUAUGUGGAACUCCGAGUGUAGAGGUGAAAUUCGUAGAUAUUCGGAAGAACACCAGUGGCGAAGGCGACAUACUGGUCCGUUACUGACGCUGAGGCGCGAAAGCGUGGGGAGCAAACAGGAUUAGAAACCCUGGUAGUCC